AUUUAAAUAGUAUAUUAUUAUAUUUGACUUCCAAUCAAAAGAUCUAAUUUUAAUUAGUUUAAAUA
This 65-nucleotide transfer RNA is filed under the name Habrocerus capillaricornis. RNAcentral's name for it is "tRNA-Gly". It matches the Rfam family "tRNA". From Rfam's summary of the family: Transfer RNA (tRNA) molecules are approximately 80 nucleotides in length. The record is from RNAcentral. Lineage: Eukaryota; Metazoa; Arthropoda; Insecta; Coleoptera; Staphylinidae.